GCUUAACACAUGCAAGUCGAGGGGUAACGACUCCGUCUUCGGAUGGAGGUCGACGACCGGCGCACGGGUGAGUAACGCGUAUGCAACCUACCUUUUACAGGAGGAUAGCCCAGAGAAAUUUGGAUUAAUACUCCAUAGUACUAAUGAAUCACCUGGUUUAUUAGUUAAAACUCCGGUGGUAAAAGAUGGGCAUGCGUGUCAUUAGCUAGUUGGUAAGGUAACGGCUUACCAAGGCGAAGAUGACUAGGGGUUCUGAGAGGAAGAUCCCCCACACUGGUACUGAGACACGGACCAGACUCCUACGGGAGGCAGCAGUGAGGAAUAUUGGUCAAUGGGUGAGAGCCUGAACCAGCCAUGCCGCGUGAAGGAAGACUGCCCUAUGGGUUGUAAACUUCUUUUCUGCAGGAAGAAAUCACUCUACGUGUAGGGUGUUGCCGGUACUGCAGGAAUAAGCAUCGGCUAACUCCGUGCCAGCAGCCGCGGUAAUACGGAGGAUGCAAGCGUUAUCCGGAUUUAUUGGGUUUAAAGGGUGCGUAGGCGGGCUUGUAAGUCAGUGGUGAAAUGCUGUGGCUUAACCAUAGAAUUGCCAUUGAAACUGCAAGUCUUGAGUACAGUUGAGGUGGGCGGAAUGAGUACUGUAGCGGUGAAAUGCCUAGAUAUUACUCAGAACUCCGAUUGCGUAGGCAGCUUGCUAAACUGUAACUGACGCUGAUGCACGAAAGCGUGGGGAGCGAACAGGAUUAGAUACCCUGGGUAGUCCACGCUGUAAACGAUGAGCACUGCUUGUUGGCAAUACACCGUCAGCGACUGAGCGAAAGUAUUAAGUGCUCCACCUGGGGAGUACGUCGGCAACGAUGAAACUCAAAGGAAUUGACGGGGGCCCGCACAAGCGGAGGAACAUGUGGUUUAAUUCGAUGAUACGCGAGGAACCUUACCUGGGCUUAAAUGUAGAGUGCAUUGCUUGGAAACAGGCAUUUUCUUCGGAACUCUUUACAAGGUGCUGCAUGGUUGUCGUCAGCUCGUGCCGUGAGGUGUCGGGUUAAGUCCCAUAACGAGCGCAACCCCUAUUGUUAGUUACCAGCACGUAAUGGUGGGGACUCUAGCAAGACUGCCGGUGUAAACCGUGAGGAAGGUGGGGAUGACGUCAAAUCAGCACGGCCCUUAUGUCCAGGGCUACACACGUGUUACAAUGGCAAGUACAAAGAGCAGCCACCUGGCGACAGGGCGCUAAUCUCAAAAGCUUGCCUCAGUUCGGAUCGAAGUCUGCAACUCGACUUCGUGAAGGUGGAUUCGCUAGUAAUCGCGCAUCAGCCAUGGCGCGGUGAAUACGUUCCCGGGCCUUGUACACACCGCCCGUCAAGCCAUGGAAGCCGGGGGUAC
RNAcentral lists this ribosomal RNA (1380 nucleotides) under uncultured organism. RNAcentral's name for it is "bacterial SSU rRNA". It matches the Rfam family "Bacterial small subunit ribosomal RNA", at positions 46 to 1420 of the family's 1533-position model. The record is from RNAcentral.